UACCAAAGGAUAAUAGU
Molecule: transfer RNA, 17 nt
Filed under: Rhadinaea fulvivittis
Lineage: Eukaryota; Metazoa; Chordata; Lepidosauria; Squamata; Dipsadidae
Description: partial tRNA-Leu
Source: RNAcentral